Molecule: long non-coding RNA, 202 nt
Filed under: Capsicum annuum
Lineage: Eukaryota; Viridiplantae; Streptophyta; Magnoliopsida; Solanales; Solanaceae
Description: long non-coding RNA (CANN_LNC008116)
Source: RNAcentral
UUCAUAUUUCUUCCUGAUGUCAAGAAACCAACUGAAAACUUAUAAACCAGCAAAAAAUUUGUUUCGUGCAAAAAAUUGCAGUCUGGUCAAAUAGAGAAGAAAAGGAGACGCUAGAACACGAAAGAGAAAGUUCUUUUCUCAUUGCAAGAUGGCAUUUGUUGAGUUAAGAAUUCAUUUAUCUGUGUACAGAUAAUUCUUUGCC